GAUCCUGGCUCAGAUUGAACGCUGGCGGUAUUGCUUAACACAUGCAAGUCGAACGGUAGCAGGUCUUCGGAUGCUGACGAGUGGCGGACGGGUGCGUAACGCGUAGGAAUCUGCCUAUUAGUGGGGGGACAACUUAGGGAAACUUAAGCUAAUACCGCAUACGCCCUACGGGGGAAAGGAGGGGACCUUCGGGCCUUUCGCUAAUAGAUGAGCCUGCGUUGGAUUAGCUAGUUGGUGGGGUAAAGGCCUACCAAGGCGACGAUCCAUAGCUGGUCUGAGAGGACGAUCAGCCACACUGGGACUGAGACACGGCCCAGACUCCUACGGGAGGCAGCAGUGGGGAAUAUUGGACAAUGGGCGAAAGCCUGAUCCAGCAAUACCGCGUGUGUGAAGAAGGCCUUAGGGUUGUAAAGCACUUUCAAUUGGAAGGAAAAACUCAUGGCCAAUACCCAUGAGCUUGACAUUACCUUUAGAAGAAGCACCGGCUAACUCCGUG
This 496-nucleotide ribosomal RNA is filed under the name uncultured bacterium. Its description in RNAcentral is "bacterial SSU rRNA". It matches the Rfam family "Bacterial small subunit ribosomal RNA", at positions 15 to 507 of the family's 1533-position model. The record is from RNAcentral.